GCGCCCAGAUGGGCGGAGUAACCUCCGCUCUCCUAAAGCGGGUGCCGCAGGUUCGAAUCCUGCCGGGGGCGCCA
Molecule: transfer RNA, 74 nt
Filed under: Nonomuraea terrae
Lineage: Bacteria; Bacillati; Actinomycetota; Actinomycetes; Streptosporangiales; Streptosporangiaceae
Description: Nonomuraea sp. CH32 tRNA-Arg
Rfam family: tRNA
About the family: Transfer RNA (tRNA) molecules are approximately 80 nucleotides in length. Their secondary structure includes four short double-helical elements and three loops (D, anti-codon, and T loops).
Source: RNAcentral